CGAAGUUUAUUUUGGACGCUUUGAAAGCAUCAUUGUAUCUUUAUCACAAGCCGGAAAGAGAGUGAAUGUUUUGAAAACAAACUUAAUCUUCUUCCAAAAGAAACUUGAUAGUGAAGUGUAUUUUAAUGCGAACAAAAGACUUUGACUUACUGAAACGGGAAAUCAACAGAAGUGUCGGGAUAUCGAAGUGUUGGUCUCAUCAGGUGGCCGUGUACGCAUCACAUCUCCAUCUCGUUUGCCCACGUUUCAGAGGUGAAACGUUGAACACGACAUUGAGAGACACCGCGUUUAAUCGUGCUCGCGCGGAUUGAUUGACGCUCUGGAACGAUCGCCCGUCACUUGAUUCGGCACUCCCGAUACUCGUUGGCACGCGGAAUUUACUUUUGUCGGGUGAAAAGAUGCAACGAACGCGGAGCAUCUACGGCAUUCGAGCGUGAUGACAAAUGACAUGAAGCUACCGCGAACUAGCACUAUGCGAAUGUAAAUAGAACACUGUGAUUGGGCGAGUAGGUGGCUGCAUUGCGUGUCUCGAUAAUCUUCGAGAUUCUCAAUACUGCGAUGUACGCUACUGUCAGUCAAGAGACGAAUGGCGGUGGAUGUUGGCACGUAUCUGGGGAGCUACCUCGUACUUCGCAUGAUUUCGGAUCAUCGACGAGUCUCACACGUGAAAUAUCGUCGCCGGGGAUGCCGUGAGUAAAUCUGGCGCAUUCGUUAUGGAAAAUAUCGUAAUCGAAAUUCAUAUCAUUGGACUGUGGCUCUUCCUCCGAUUCGCCAAAUGAUUGAAGGAAGUCUCGGAGCACUCGUUCAUCAUAUAGCAAUACGGAGUUCUUCAAGUUGCGAAAGGGUAACCGGAACAAACAAGGACAGAGCACACUCAUAGCGCUAAAUAGCGUCUCCCCGAACGCAGCCAGAGAAG
Long non-coding RNA from Odontomachus brunneus, 916 nucleotides. RefSeq lists it as uncharacterized. Lineage: Eukaryota; Metazoa; Arthropoda; Insecta; Hymenoptera; Formicidae. The record is from RefSeq and is a predicted model, not a curated record. The transcript has 3 exons.